Equus quagga is the source of this 703-nucleotide long non-coding RNA. RefSeq lists it as uncharacterized. The record is from RefSeq and is a predicted model, not a curated record. Lineage: Eukaryota; Metazoa; Chordata; Mammalia; Perissodactyla; Equidae. The transcript is spliced from 3 exons.
UUGCAUCAUGUUCUAUUUUUUAAACACACCCAGUGAAUAUCUUUUUUAGAUCCUUCUUGCCACUCUGGGUGGGUACAGCAUCUGUGCAGAUUACAGGUCAUUUCUUUCCCGACAUAGAUUUUUCAUGAGAAUAUUUGUAAUUUAGAGCACACACUCUGAAGUCAGUGAGAUCUGCGUUUGCAUCCCAGCUCCGCUACCUACUAGCUGUGUGCCUUGGGUCUCGGGGAGGGACGUGGCUGCUGUCCCUGUGUAAGAGGUCACACCAGGAAAACUGAUUUCCUGGGUCUGCUACUGAAUCCACACUGGGCCUCUCGGACUUGCACAUUUUCCCAAUCCACGUAAGACAAAAAUCCUUAUUUGCAUCCUGCCUUCUCCCUGGAGGGACGGAGUGAGAGGAGGUGCAGGAAGAGGUGGCCUAGUUCCUUCUCUUGGUCCUUCCACUCUCCCCUUCAGUGGAUCACCGUCUGGAGCAAAAGAGGGGGAGAGACGGAGACUGUGAUGAUUCACGGCACGCCCCACUUCUUUCUGUUUCUCUCCUUAACACAGCAAUAUCUUUUUAAAUAAAUGCUCUGGAAAGUAAAUUCUAUAAUGAAAUUACAUCUGGUUUAAUUUUUUAAAAAGUAAAUCCUCACAAAUCACGCAAAGUGUCAGCCAUGCGCCACGCUGCAUGCCCACAGGCACAGCUGCGAAGCCUGCAGCCCAC